CCUGACUGCUAUCGGAUUGAAACUAAGCCAUGCGAGUCUUUGCAGUAAUGCAAGGCAUACGGCUCAGUAACACGUAGUCAACUUACCCUAUGGACGAGGAUAAUCUCGGGAAACUGAGCAUAAUACUCGAUAGAUCAUAAUGCCUGGAAUGGUUUAUGGUUGAAAUGAUUCGUCGCCAUAGGAUGGGACUGCGGCCUAUCAGCUUGUUGGUGAGGUAAUGGCCCACCAAGGCGAUUACAGGUACGGGCUCUGAGAGGAGAAGCCCGGAGAUGGGUACUGAGACAAGGACCCAGGCCCUAUGGGGCGCAGCAGGCGAGAAAACUUUGCAAUGUGCGAAAGCACGACAAGGUUAAUCCGAGUGAUUUCUGCUAAAGAAAUCUUUUGCAAGUCAUAAAACCACUAGUGAAUAAGGGGUGGGCAAGUUCUGGUGUCAGCCGCCGCGGUAAAACCAGCACCUCAAGUGGUCAGGAGGAUUAUUGGGCCUAAAGCAUCCGUAGCCGGCUCUGUAAGUUUUCGGUUAAAUCCAUGUGCUCAACGCAUGGGCUGCCGAAAAUACUGCAUAGCUAGGGAGUGGGAGAGGUAGACGGUACUCGGUAGGAAGGGGUAAAAUCCUUUGAUCUAUCGAUGACCACCUGUGGCGAAGGCGGUCUACCAGAACACGUUCGACGGUGAGGGAUGAAAGCUGGGGGAGCAAACCGGAUUAGAUACCCGGGUAGUCCCAGCUGUAAACGAUGCAGACUCGAUGAUGCAUUGGCAUAUAGCCAGUGCAGUGUCGCAGGGAAGCCGUUAAGUCUGCCGCCUGGGAAGUACGUACGCAAGUAUGAAACUUAAAGGAAUUGGCGGGGGAGCACCACCAAGGGGUGAAGCCUGCGGUUC
Molecule: ribosomal RNA, 876 nt
Filed under: uncultured archaeon
Lineage: Archaea
Description: bacterial SSU rRNA
Rfam family: Archaeal small subunit ribosomal RNA
Source: RNAcentral